UGAGGAAUAUUGGGCAAUGCCCGCAAGGGUGACCCAGCAACGCCGCGUGGAGGAUGAAUGUCGUAAGAUUGUAAACUCCUGUUAGAGGGGAAGAAUAGUACCGGUUGGACCGGUAUAUGACUGUACCCUCAGAGAAAGCCCCGGCUAACUACGUGCAAGCAGCCGCGGUAAUACGUAGGGGGCAAGCGUUGUCCGGAUUUACUGGGUGUAAAGGGCGCGCAGGCGGGAUAAAAAGCCAGUGGUGAAAUCCUACAGCUUAACUGUAGAACUGCCUUUGAUACUUUUAUUCUUGAGUUCGGGAGAGAGAGACGGAAUUCCAGGUGUAGUGGUGAAAUACGUAGAUAUCUGGAAGAACACCAGUUGCGAAGGCGGUCUCUUGGUCCGACACUGACGCUGAGGCGCGAAAGCGUGGGGAGCAAACA
RNAcentral lists this ribosomal RNA (422 nucleotides) under uncultured bacterium. RNAcentral describes it as "bacterial SSU rRNA". It matches the Rfam family "Bacterial small subunit ribosomal RNA", at positions 355 to 774 of the family's 1533-position model. The record is from RNAcentral.